Molecule: transfer RNA, 48 nt
Filed under: Boehmeria sp. ZJL201501
Lineage: Eukaryota; Viridiplantae; Streptophyta; Magnoliopsida; Rosales; Urticaceae
Description: partial tRNA-Leu
Source: RNAcentral
AAUCCGUCGACUUUAAAAAUCAUGAGGGUUCAAGUCCCUCUAUCCCCA